UCUAGAAUCAGAGACACGGGUUCGAGGU
This 28-nucleotide small RNA is filed under the name Bombyx mori (domestic silkworm). RNAcentral's name for it is "ovarian small RNA-29475". Lineage: Eukaryota; Metazoa; Arthropoda; Insecta; Lepidoptera; Bombycidae. The record is from RNAcentral.